This 1117-nucleotide ribosomal RNA is filed under the name Vibrio sp. Its description in RNAcentral is "bacterial SSU rRNA". It matches the Rfam family "Bacterial small subunit ribosomal RNA", at positions 359 to 1486 of the family's 1533-position model. The record is from RNAcentral. Lineage: Bacteria; Pseudomonadati; Pseudomonadota; Gammaproteobacteria; Vibrionales; Vibrionaceae.
CGUGAUGCAUGGGCGCAGCCUGAUGCAGCCAUGCCGCGUGUGUGAAGAAGGCCUUCGGGUUGUAAAGCACUUUCAGUCGUGAGGAAGGGGGUGUAGUUAAUAGCUGCAUUAUUUGACGUUAGCGACAGAAGAAGCACCGGCUAACUCCGUGCCAGCAGCCGCGGUAAUACGGAGGGUGCGAGCGUUAAUCGGAAUUACUGGGCGUAAAGCGCAUGCAGGUGGUUUGUUAAGUCAGAUGUGAAAGCCCGGGGCUCAACCUCGGAAUAGCAUUUGAAACUGGCAGACUAGAGUACUGUAGAGGGGGGUAGAAUUUCAGGUGUAGCGGUGAAAUGCGUAGAGAUCUGAAGGAAUACCGGUGGCGAAGGCGGCCCCCUGGACAGAUACUGACACUCAGAUGCGAAAGCGUGGGGAGCAAACAGGAUUAGAUACCCUGGUAGUCCACGCCGUAAACGAUGUCUACUUGGAGGUUGUGGCCUUGAGCCGUGGCUUUCGGAGCUAACGCGUUAAGUAGACCGCCUGGGGAGUACGGUCGCAAGAUUAAAACUCAAAUGAAUUGACGGGGGCCCGCACAAGCGGUGGAGCAUGUGGUUUAAUUCGAUGCAACGCGAAGAACCUUACCUACUCUUGACAUCCAGAGAACUUUCCAGAGAUGGAUUGGUGCCUUCGGGAACUCUGAGACAGGUGCUGCAUGGCUGUCGUCAGCUCGUGUUGUGAAAUGUUGGGUUAAGUCCCGCAACGAGCGCAACCCUUAUCCUUGUUUGCCAGCGAGUAAUGUCGGGAACUCCAGGGAGACUGCCGGUGAUAAACCGGAGGAAGGGUGGGGACGACGUCAAGUCAUCAUGGCCCUUACGAGUAGGGCUACACACGUGCUACAAUGGCGCAUACAGAGGGCGGCCAACUUGCGAAGUGAGCGAAUCCCAAAAAGUGCGUCGUAGUCCGGAUUGAAGUCUGCAACUCGACUCCAUGAAGUCGGAAUCGCUAGUAAUCGUGAUCAGAUGCCACGGUGAAUACGUUCCCGGGCCUUGUACACACCGCCGUCACACCAUGGAGUGGGCUGCAAAAGAGUAGUAGUUACUCGGGGGACGCUUACCACUUUGUGUCAUGACUGGGGUGAUGA